GAUGAACGCUGGCGGCGUGCCUAAUACAUGCAAGUCGAGCGAACAGACGAGGAGCUUGCUCCUCUGACGUUAGCGGCGGACGGUUGAGUAACACGUGGAUAACCUACCUAUAAGACUGGGAUAACUUCGGGAAACCGGAGCUAAUACCGGAUAAUAUAUUGAACCGCAUGGUUCAAUAGUGAAAAACGUUUUUGCUGUCACUUAUAGAUGGAUCCGCGCCGCAUUAGCUAGUUGGUAAGGUAACGGCUUACCAAGGCAACGAUGCGUAGCCGACCUGAGAGGGUGAUCGGCCACACUGGAACUGAGGCACGGUCCAGACUCCUACGGGAGGCAGCAGUAGGGAAUCUUCCGCAAUGGGCGAAAGCCUGACGGAGCAACGCCGCGUGAGUGAUGAAGGUCUUCGGAUCGUAAAACUCUGUUAUUAGGGAAGAACAAAUGUGUAAGUAACUAUGCACGUCUUGACGGUACCUAAUCAGAAAGCCACGGCUAACUACGUG
This 497-nucleotide ribosomal RNA is filed under the name uncultured bacterium. RNAcentral's name for it is "partial 16S ribosomal RNA". It matches the Rfam family "Bacterial small subunit ribosomal RNA", at positions 28 to 507 of the family's 1533-position model. The record is from RNAcentral.